RNAcentral lists this ribosomal RNA (253 nucleotides) under uncultured bacterium. RNAcentral's name for it is "partial 16S ribosomal RNA". It matches the Rfam family "Bacterial small subunit ribosomal RNA", at positions 524 to 776 of the family's 1533-position model. The record is from RNAcentral.
UACGUAGGGAGCAAGCGUUGUUCGGAUUUACUGGGCGUAAAGGGCGCGUAGGCGGCGCGACAAGUCACUUGUGAAAUCUCCGGGCUUAACUCGGAACGGUCAAGUGAUACUGUCGUGCUAGAGUGCGGAAGGGGCUACUGGAAUUCUCGGUGUAGCGGUGAAAUGCGUAGAUAUCGAGAGGAACACCUGCGGCGAAGGCGGGUAGCUGGGCCGACACUGACGCUGAAGCGCGAAAGCUAGGGGAGCGAACGGG